Long non-coding RNA from Ictalurus punctatus (channel catfish), 1655 nucleotides. Lineage: Eukaryota; Metazoa; Chordata; Actinopteri; Siluriformes; Ictaluridae. The record is from Ensembl.
CUCGUAAAUCAAGAGCUGCGAAUCACAAGUUGCAAAUGGCAACAAACUUUUAUUCCUUGUUUCUGUGUGUUGAGCUAAUGUGCCAUAGUUUAGUCUGCCUCCUCUUUAUAGAAUGACUCGUCUGAGAGGCCUAUAACAGCCAGGAGAGCUUAUGGUGCUCUCAAGCACACCCAAAUAUUGCAGCUGUGUUUUGGCCUUGUCUGUCAGCGAAACAGCAGAGAAUGAAACUCAAGAGACCACUUUGUGACGGCUGUUCCAGUGGAAACGAGUUCAUUCAGAUUUAGUACAAUGAUUCAUGGUGUGUUUCUACACGCCUGCGGCCCAAACGUUUCCCUCGCCACAAUCAGCAUCACUUACACUACAUUGUUUACCAUAAAUAAAAGGCUUAAUAACACUUAUACGUUUCCACAUAUAGACUGGACGUCAUAUUGCCUGAACGGUCUGAAAUGCUAAUGCUGAGACGGAUUGAAGAGACUGCACUGGACUGUUUAUUUUUUCACCCCCUGACUUCCAUCUGUAAGCACUUCAAAUGUGCAAAUGUAGUUAACUUAAAACAGAAGCAAUAUGUGCAUAUGAUGCAAUCAUAAUUAAAGCCUCUGUUGUCUGAUUCUCUUUGGGUUAUCCUUUCCUAACAGCGCCAUCUUGUGUUCAAUGGAGUCAGUAGGGUUUAGGUCUGGAGACGUGCUUGGCCAGUUCAUCACCUUCACCCUCAGCUUCUUUAGCAAGGCAGUGGUUGUCUUGGAGGUGUGUUUGGGGUCGUUAUCAUGCUGGAAUACUGCCCUGCGGACCAGUCUCCGAAGGGAGGGGAUCAUGCUCUGCUUCAGUAUGUCACAGUACAUGUUGGCAUUCAUGGUUCCCUCAAUGAGCUGUAGCUCCCCAGUGCCGGCAGCACUCAUGCAGCCCCAGACCAUGACAUUUCCACCACCAUGCUUGACUGUAGGCAAGACACACUUGUCUUUGUACUCCUCACCUGGUUGCCACCACACACGCUUGACACCAUCUGAACUAAAUAAGUUUAUCUUGGUCUCAUCAGACCACAGGACAUGGUUCCAGUAAUCCAUGUCCUUAGUCUGCUUGUCUUCAGCAAACUGUUUGCGGGCUUUCUUGUGCAUCAUCUUUAGAAGAGGCUUCCUUCUGGGAUGACGGCCAUGCAGACCAAUUUGAUGCAGUGUGCGGCGUAUGGUCUGAGCACUGACAGGCUGACCCCCCACCCCUUCAACCUCUGCAGCAAUGCUGGCAGCACUCAUACAUCUAUUUCCCAAAGACAGCCACUGGAUAUGACGCUGAGCACGUGCACUCAACUUCUGUGGUCGACCAUGGCGAGGCCUUUUCUGAGUGGAACGUGUCCUGUUAAACCGCUGUAUGGUCUUGGCCACCGUGCUGCAGCUCAGUGUCAGGGUCUUGGCAAUCUUCUUAUAGCCUAGGCCAUCUUUAUGUAGAGCAACAAUUCUUUUUUUCAGAUCCUCAGAGAGUUCUUUGACAUGAGCUGCCAUGUUGAACUUCAGUGACCAGUAUGAGGGAGUGUGAGAGCGAUCACACCAAAUUUAACACACCUGGUCCCCAUUCACACCUGAGACCUUGUAACACUAACAAGUCACAUGACACCGGGGAGGGAAAAUGGCUAAUUGGGCCCAAUUUAGACAUUUUCACUUAGG